CCUACGGGAGGCAGCAGUGAGGAAUAUUGGUCAAUGGACGAGAGUCUGAACCAGCCACGUAGCGUGAAGGAUGACUGCCUUAUGGGUUGUAACCUUCUUUUAUAAAGGAAUAAAAAGAGGCUCGUGUGCCUUUUUGCAUGUACUUUAUGAAUAAGGAUCGGCUAACUCCGUGCCAGCAGCCGCGGUAAUACGGAGGAUCCGAGCGUUAUCCGGAUUUAUUGGGUGUAAAGGGAGCGUAGAUGGGUUGUUAAGUCAGUGGUGAAAGUUUGGGGCUCAACCGUAAUAUUGCAAUUGAUACUGGCAGGCUUGAGUACAGUAGAGGUAGGCGGAAUUCGUGGUGUAGCGGUGAAAUGCGUAGAUAUCACGAAGAACCCCGAUGGCGAAGGCAGCUUACUAAACUGUGACUGACAUUGAGGCUCGAAAGUGUGGGUAGCAAACAGGAUUAGAUACCCUAGUAGUC
RNAcentral lists this ribosomal RNA (460 nucleotides) under uncultured bacterium. RNAcentral describes it as "partial 16S ribosomal RNA". It matches the Rfam family "Bacterial small subunit ribosomal RNA", at positions 338 to 795 of the family's 1533-position model. The record is from RNAcentral.